This 324-nucleotide ribosomal RNA is filed under the name Blackburnia kauwa. Its description in RNAcentral is "partial 28S ribosomal RNA". The record is from RNAcentral. Lineage: Eukaryota; Metazoa; Arthropoda; Insecta; Coleoptera; Carabidae.
GAUGGUUCGAUUAGUCUUUCGCCCCUAUACCCAGUUCAUACGAUCGAUUUGCACGUCAGAAUCGCUACGGACCUCCAUCAGGGUUUCCCCUGACUUCAUCCUGACCAGGCAUAGUUCACCAUCUUUCGGGUCCCAGCGUGUACGCUCUUGGUGCGCCGCAACUUGCAAUAAGUAUGCGACGCCCCGGGAAUGCGAGGUAACAUAAAUAACGUUACCCAUCUUCCCUUUAUAAAAUAUAAUUAUAAAAAUUAUAUAUAUAUAUUUACUUUCAUUAUGCCUUUAGGUUUAAUAUAAAUACCCAAUGACUUGCGCACAUGCUAGAUG